This 246-nucleotide unclassified non-coding RNA is filed under the name uncultured fungus. Its description in RNAcentral is "sequence contains ITS1, 5.8S rRNA gene". The stretch from base 198 to 246 matches the Rfam family "5.8S ribosomal RNA", at positions 1 to 49 of the family's 154-position model. The record is from RNAcentral. Lineage: Eukaryota; Fungi.
UUUCCGUAGGUGAACCUGCGGAGGGAUCAUUACACAAAUAUGAAGGCGGGCUGGAACCUCUCGGGGUUACAGCCUUGCUGAAUUAUUCACCCUUGUCUUUUGCGUACUUCUUGUUUCCUUGGUGGGUUCGCCCACCACUAGGACAAACAUAAACCUUUUGUAAUUGCAAUCAGCGUCAGUAACAAAUUAAUAAUUACAACUUUCAACAACGGAUCUCUUGGUUCUGGCAUCGAUGAAGAACGCAGC